RNAcentral lists this ribosomal RNA (356 nucleotides) under uncultured bacterium. Its description in RNAcentral is "bacterial SSU rRNA". It matches the Rfam family "Bacterial small subunit ribosomal RNA", at positions 29 to 410 of the family's 1533-position model. The record is from RNAcentral.
AACGAACGCUGGCGGCAUGCCUAACACAUGCAAGUCGAACGCGUGUAGCAAUACACGAGUGGCGGACGGGUGAGUAACGCGUGGGAACCUGCCCAAUGGUAGGGAAUAACUGCGGGAAACUGCAGCUAAUACCCUAUGCUCCCUACGGGGGAAAGAUUUAUCGCCAUUGGAGGGGCCCGCGUCGGAUUAGCUAGUUGGCGGGGUAACGGCCCACCAAGGCUACGAUCCGUAGCUGGUCUGAGAGGAUGAUCAGCCACACUGGGACUGAGAUACGGCCCAGACUCCUACGGGAGGCAGCAGUGGGGAAUAUUGGACAAUGGGGGAAACCCUGAUCCAGCAAUGCCGCGUGAGUGAAG